This 478-nucleotide ribosomal RNA is filed under the name uncultured bacterium. Its description in RNAcentral is "partial 16S ribosomal RNA". It matches the Rfam family "Bacterial small subunit ribosomal RNA", at positions 28 to 523 of the family's 1533-position model. The record is from RNAcentral.
GACGAACGCUGGCGGCGUGCUUAACACAUGCAAGUCGAACGGUAAGGCCCUUCGGGGUACACGAGUGGCGAACGGGUGAGUAACACGUGGGUGAUCUGCCCUGCACUUCGGGAUAAGCCUGGGAAACUGGGUCUAAUACCGGAUAGGACUCCUGGCUUCAUGGUUGGGGGGGGAAAGCUUUUGCGGUGUGGGAUGGGCCCGCGGCCUAUCAGCUUGUUGGUGGGGUAAUGGCCUACCAAGGCGACGACGGGUAGCCGGCCUGAGAGGGUGACCGGUCACACUGGGACUGAGAUACGGCCCAGACUCCUACGGGAGGCAGCAGUGGGGAAUAUUGCACAAUGGGCGCAAGCCUGAUGCAGCGACGCCGCGUGAGGGAUGACGGCCUUCGGGUUGUAAACCUCUUUCAGCUAUGACGAAGCGCAAGUGACGGUAGUAGCAGAAGAAGGACCGGCCAACUACGUGCCAGCAGCCGCCGCCG